Molecule: unclassified non-coding RNA, 390 nt
Filed under: soil metagenome
Description: partial contains 5.8S ribosomal RNA, internal transcribed spacer 2, and large subunit ribosomal RNA
Rfam family: 5.8S ribosomal RNA (bases 1-122)
Source: RNAcentral
GAUGAAGAACGUAGCGAAAUGCGAUACUUGGUGUGAAUUGCAGAAUCCCGUGAACCAUCGAGUCUUUGAACGCAAGUUGCGCCCGAAGCCAUUAGGCCGAGGGCACGCCUGCCUGGGCGUCACACGUCGUUGCCCCCCCAUCUACUCCUUCGGGAUUGCGGGGGGCGGAUGAUGGCCUCCCGUGCGCCUCGCCGCGCGGUUGGCAUAAAUGCCAAGUCCUCGGCGACGCACGCCACGACAAUCGGUGGUUGCGAAACCUCGGUUGCCCGUCGUGUGCGGUCGUCGCGCAUCGAGGGCUCGAAAAAAUUGCCGGGUUCCGGCUCGGCUUUCAACGCGACCCCAGGUCAGGCAGGGUUACCCGCUGAAUUUAAGCAUAUCAAUAGCGGAGGA